AGCAGCCGCGGUAAUUCCAGCUCCAAUAGCGUAUAUUAAAGUUGUUGCAGUUAAAAAGCUCGUAGUUGAAUUUCGGGAUCAAAGAAUCGGUCAUGCCUUGGUAUGUACUGGUUUUAUUGGUUCUCACCUUCUAAAGAACCAUGAUGUCAUUCAUUUGAUGUUAUGGGGAAUUAGGACUGUUACCUUGAAAAAAUUUAGAGUGUUUAAAGCAAGCUUACGCUUGAAUACAUUAGCAUGGAAUAAUGAAAUAGGACAUCAGAUUCUAUUUUGUUGGUUUCUAGGAUCGAUGUAAUGAUUAAUAGGGAUAGUUGGGGGCAUUAGUAUUCAAUUGUCAGAGGUGAAAUUCUUGGAUUUAUUGAAGACUAACUACUGCGAAAGCAUUUGCCAAGGAUGUUUUCAUUAAUCAAGAACGAAAGUUAGGGGAUCGAAGACGAUCAGAUACCGUCGUAGUCUUAACCAUAAACUAUGCCGACUAGGGAUCGGAUGAUGUUAAUUUUUUAAUGACUCAUUCGGCACCUUA
This 520-nucleotide small RNA is filed under the name uncultured Glomus. RNAcentral's name for it is "SSU rRNA". It matches the Rfam family "Eukaryotic small subunit ribosomal RNA", at positions 569 to 1090 of the family's 1831-position model. Lineage: Eukaryota; Fungi; Glomeromycota; Glomeromycetes; Glomerales; Glomeraceae. The record is from RNAcentral.